Molecule: long non-coding RNA, 1056 nt
Organism: Dipodomys spectabilis (banner-tailed kangaroo rat)
Lineage: Eukaryota; Metazoa; Chordata; Mammalia; Rodentia; Heteromyidae
Exons: 2
Source: RefSeq, a predicted model, not a curated record
AGCGCUGCUCUGCGCCCCGCGUUCUCUGCGCACCUCGGCCCAGGUUUUGCGGAAACGGCGGCUUCGGGGGACGCGCUCCGUCCGCGGCCGGGCCUAGGGCCGAGUCCGCCUUGGUCCUCAGCGCUGAGGCGUCCGUUCCGGGCUCGGCGGCCUGGCGCUUCCCCAGCAGCUCCCAAGGGCCAGAGCCAACCCGGACUGGAUUGAGGACUACAACGUAGUUUCCCCGGGACCUCUGCAUGUGCAGAUAACCAAUUGGAGCGGAGCCUGCCCGACGUUCUGGAAGACUGACAACAUCAACACAUCACCAGGACACAGUCUUAAAGAUGAGUAACACCCUUCCCCCCACAUUCCACUUCCAGCUAUUUCAAAACCUGUCAGAAGAGGUGGAAGAAAAAAUACAGGCCAUAGACCAGCUUGCCACUCACAUAACAAUUGGGGACACAACCUCAUGGAUUUUGCCUGUGUUGGGAUUCUUUAUGGUCAUUUUGGGUUUACUUUUAAUUUUACCCCGCAUUUAUAGAAGGCUGCAGAACAUCUUCACAGAAAGAGCAAGAGCCUUCGUCAACCAGACUCUGAAUCAGAGGCUCCUGGCUCCAGAUAGUCAGAGGCUUCUGGCUCCUGAGACAAUGCCACAUUGCCCCUCAUCCAGAGGAUACUUCCAUGUAACCCCACCCAAUAUCCAUCAGGAAGUUAGCAACAGGCCUUCGCCCAGAUACCAUAACGAGCCAUCCUCACCAAAAAUUAAAAGGGGAGUGCUAGUCUGAUCUGCAUCUUAGGAGCUACUCCAUUUUAGUUGUGUGGUAAAGCACGGCCUUUCCCCAAACACAGCUUACUUCAAAAGAAGCAGCUGCAAUUGCUAACAGACACCCCCUCCCUCUCCAUUAAAGCAGUUCCUGUUUGUACAACUACAACCAUAAAUGGUAGCCUGGUCACAGUGGAAUUCCGCUCUCACAUCCUACACCUAACCCCCAUAAAAACCGCCUGCUUGGCUGCUACCCAUCGGGUGAGGUAGCCAAUCAGGUUACUGGCAAUAAAUUCCUUUUCCUUUGUGUGUGA